This 7840-nucleotide long non-coding RNA is filed under the name Medicago truncatula (barrel medic). Its description in RNAcentral is "long non-coding RNA (MTRU_LNC001783)". Lineage: Eukaryota; Viridiplantae; Streptophyta; Magnoliopsida; Fabales; Fabaceae. The record is from RNAcentral.
GUUCGUUCAAACAAAAUGAAGAAGAGGCAUAGUUGAUAGAAAACACAGGAAUGAAGAUCCUAGACUCUUCAAUGGCAUUGUCGAGUGAUGGUUUGAUUUCAUCCCCUCUUUGCAGGUCACGGUCAUCAAUGAAGGUGUGGAUUCCCUUGUCAGUAAGAGCCUUGUAGAGAUGACCAGUAAAACCGUUACGAGUGUCACUGCCCCUGAAGCUGAGGAACACUUGGUAAGUGAAUCGAUAGGAAAAUGAAGAGGAUGAGGAAGGUGAUUGCAUAGCCAUGAGAAUUGAGAAUGCAGAAUAUGAGUUAAGUUUUUGUGGUCUGAAAUGUGGAGUCUUCGGUAUGAGUUUGUGGUGUAUAUAACAAGGACAAAACUUAUGACAAAAAUGGUCUGUUAAACUUCCUGACCACUUCCUAUAGCCGUGUGGACCAAUCACACAUAUUCUGACCGAUGAUGUAAGCAAGUUCUUUAAUUAAUCCUCUGGUCAAUGGUCUAACUUCUUGGAUGUUGCCAUUGUUCAUAAUCUUGUUUUCUUCUUGCUGUCUUUCUUCAUUUUUUCGCGUCAUAUGCCAAGGAUUUUCUUUACAAGUUUUUUGUGCAACCAAUAUUGCAUUAAACUAGCACUAGUACAAGGACCCCCAUUAUACUCUAGUGCUAAUAUAAUCAACCUUGCAAUUAUGUAAGCACUCGUUGCAUUUUUCACAUUUCUUAAUAUUACUAAAUUGUUCUUUGUUUGUUUGGAUUUAAUUUAACUUAUGUGUCCAAAUAAAACUAUAUGCGUCAAAAACAAAAAUAAUAGUUCCGGUACUUAUUACACUAUUCUUUGGUUUUUAAUUAAUUUAUUUUAGUUUUUUCCGAAAGUUGAACAGCAAUCACAUUGAAAAAGACAUGAAUACGAGGUAUAUCUUUUUUGGAGGGUACAAAAAAUCCUAAGAAAAGUUGAAUACCGGGUAUAUGUGAUUCUUUUGUAAACUAUGUUUUCUUAUAAUUAAUAACUUUAAAAAGAAUCAGCAUUAGGUCCAAGGUUUGAUCCCUGACCGAUGUAUGGAAAAACAGAAGAGUUAAACUCUUUAAUGAAUAGAUUGGUUCUUAUUGUUGCCUCGUUAGUAUUUCUCGGUGUCAGAAUUUUAGGUCAAUUAUUAGUAGAGCUAACUAAAAAUAUAGUUACUUCGACUAGGACAUGAGUGACCUUAUUUAUUUGUCUCUCGAGCACAAUGUGAGAGUUUGUAAAUUAAGAAGCAAAACUAAUUAUUCAUUAUAUAAUAAAACAUAACCAAACUAUGUAGCAUCCUCUCUAACAUUACACGUGUUUUUGGCGAUCACAAAAACACCUUCAUCACCUCUUAAGCACAUGCCAAUAUAUGUCCAAUUUUGCCGAAAUGAAAAUUAAGCAUCUAUAUUGCACUUAUACCUUCCUUCUUGCAGCCCUUGCCACCGUGCUUUGUGUUGUCUGCUGCAUCAUCGCAAUCUUCUUCCACAUCAAUUGUUUUUGAUGUACGGGAGCCAUGCCUACCUCUUCUGGUCGUGGCAUUAGCUAUGAACCAGUCCUCUUGAUACCACUUCUGCAAUUUACUCAUUCACAUCUUGUCAAACCUUCCUGCUUUGUUGCUUCUAUAGACUCCAUAAAGUAACAACCAUAUAGUUAGCAAUAACAAGAAGACUGUUGUCUUUGUUGUAUUUGUUUUCAAUAAAUCUUUAUUAAUUUCAUUCCAUAUCCUUCAAUCCAAUAGCCCUUUUUCUUUUCUUUAAUUAUUAUUGUUUCAGUGUGAUUCUAUGGAUAUUUAUGUGAUUCUAAAAAAGAAAUUCUGAUUGCAAUAUCCUUUAACCUUUUUAAUCACAUUCUCAGGCAUCAUAGAUAAAAUCUGAAGCUUAAACUCCACAUAGAUCCGUUCAUUUUUUAAAAGUGCUUUGUCCAUUUCAGACUUGAAAUUGAUCCCGUGAAAUAUUUUACAGCAUUGAAUAUUUUCUUCCAAAUUCAUAUCAAACAAAUAUGUAUGUCCCGAAGAAGGAAGACAUUUAAAUUGGAGUUCUGGAAAUGUACAUUCAUAACCAUUGACAAAAAAAUUAAAUCCUAAAGUAUACUUAACAUCCGGAAGAUAUAUAUUACACAUUGUCGAUUAUAUGUGAAAUACUACACAUCAAAUACUAUUGCAAGAAAAAACAACAACAAACCUGACUCAACAAAAUCUUCUAUUUGAGGAACUCAAUGAUUUACAUCCUAAUGCACGAAGACAUUUGAGAUUCGGUGGAAACCCUCUAAUUUCCUCAAGAUGCUCGUUAAAAUUCAAUAGGAGGGUCCUCAUAAGGUGACAUUCACUAAGGCACUCGGGAAGAAUUUUGAAAUUGCCAAAGGAUAAGUCUAGAAAUUUCACAUUAACACACACAACUUGAGAACUAUUUGGAGACAUUCAUAUGGGAGAUUGCAAUCAUUGAAACGAAGACCUUCCACAUUUGAAAACAUUAUUGAAUACAUUUUAUCAUUAUGUUUUGGGAACCUGAGCAUUUCACAUCCCUGUAUUGAUAAGCUGAGAUUUUGAAAUGAAAAUGGCAAUUCUCUUAUGGAAGUUAUACACAUUCCAAUCUGUACAAAUGUGUGUGUUAAAGGGUGUGUUGCUUGUAAUCCUCGGAAUACAAACACACAUUUGAAUUUUUUUUUUUUUUUUUNUUCUUUCUAACAUAUUUAUAAAAAUAUUACUAUGGAAUGACAACCAACAUUUUUAUUCAAAAGAUCUUUCAUAGAGAUUAUGAUUAAAACCAUUUUUGCUUUCAAAGUAUAAGGAUCUUACUUGUAACAAUAUUCAUCUNNNNNNNNNNNNNNNNNNNNNNNNNNNNNNNNNNNNNNNNNNNNNNNNNNNNNNNNNNNNNNNNNNNNNNNNNNNNNNNNNNNNNNNNNNNNNNNNNNNNGGAUCCGCCAUAAUUUAUUAGACGCUGCGUGAAAGUGGCAAACGUCCACUGCACCUUUUGGAAGUUCGGGACAGAAGGGAUACAUCUGGAGGCCCUGAGAGAUGGAUUCCCAUACUUUCUUCAGACUUGGUUUCUUCUGAUGUGUCUGAAGCAUCCUUAUGAAAUAGUUGAACAAAAAUUCAAGUUAUAACAGAUGUGAUAACUAACACAAUAUACAUUUAUGCUGCAUUUAAAAUAGUCAAAUUUUUAUCAGUAUUGUUUCAAUGCCAAUCAUAUGACAUUGGGACAGAUACAUCAUACAUGAUUAAGUGCAUUAAGAUAUAAUAUAUGUCACUUCCUAGCAGAAACCCCCGUGAAAAGUGAUUAAACUAUUCCAAAUCCAAUCUGAAUCAUAAUUAAUGAGAUUAAUAGUAAACUUAACUUCAUCCAAUAAUAUUCAAAAACUUUUUCAUUAACCAAUAAAUUUACUGUGUUUAGGCUAUUAACUUUUUCACUCAAAAGAUGCAUUCAGUCCACACAGCACAAUAAGUAAAUAGAAGGGGAGAACAAGCCUAGAUUUUCUUAAUCUUUACAAUUUCAACAUCAAAUGUCUAAAAUUUACAAUAAGAUGGUCAAAAUAACAUUAGUAACAUUUAUGCAUACUCUGAGAACCUUUAUUUCGACAUUUAGCAAGGAGAAAAUCAAAAUAACAUUAGUAACAUUUAUGUGUAACAAUGUUUUCAAUUAUAAUUUCUAAAAUUUCCAUCAAUCAAGCUGGAUAAAAAACAUCCUUCCUAUGAAAUACCGACACAGACACGGACACCAAACUCGACAUUGAUUUGUCAACACCAAUAGUAAUUUGAGAAAAUCACCUGUGUUGGUAUUGGAUGCCUUCGAUCAGAAGUGUGUGUCUACAAAGCAUUUUGGACAGAAUCUUAUAUCAUGUCUCGUCAUUUGAAAAACUCUUCCAGGUAGAAACAAUUAAUUGAUUUAUAAAGAUAAUAAUGAUAAUGAUGUACCUGGACCAAGGAAUAUAUCUAUCCAUGGUGUUCCUUUUCUUUUGUUUCAGUAAGCACCAAGUUCCGCAUGCCUGACACUAAAGCUAGAUGUUGCUGCUGCAAAAUUUCUGUCUCUGAAACUCCCACUUCCACAAAUCUAUGCUUUUUCAGCGUAGGAUGAAAUUGUGAUAAUGAAGCAUUGAGAUAUUCAUCUAAUUUUCUCUAUCUACUAUAAGGAUUGGUGAAUAUCACAUCCUCAUUCGUGUUGUUUUUCUCCUUGCGCACGUGGAUUCCCAUUUCUGUACUUCUUAACCUUUUAAUAAUAUUCUCAGGAAUCCAACUAAACUGAAGCUUCAACUCCACAUAGAUCCAUUCAUUUUUUAAAAGUGCUUUGUCUAAUAUUUUAUAGUGUUCAAUAUUUUCUUCCAAAUUCAUAUCAAACAAAUAUGUAUGUCCCGAAAAAUACGGCAGUCUAAAUUCGAAUUUUUGAACUGUACAUUCAUGACCUUUGACAAACAAAUUAAAUCCUAAAUAAUAUUCAACAUUCGGAAGAAUAAUAAUAAAAGUUAUAGAAGGGAUCUUUUUACAGAACCAGAAAGAAAUUGAAUGACCCCUGCUUUGAUGCUCGAACCAAUCUGGAAUCCUAAUCACCUCUGUUCCGUUUGGGAAAACAAAUGUGGUGCACCCAGCCUCAUGUAAUUGCUGUUAGUUUAGCAUAAGAUAUAUAUUACACAUUGUUGAUUAUAUGUGAAAUACUACUUAUCAAAUACUAUUGCAAGAAAAAACAACAAACCUGACUCAAUAACAUUCUUCUAGUUGAGGAACUCAAUGAUUUACAUUCAAAUGCAUCAAGACAUUUGAGAUUCGGUGGAAACCCUCUAAUUUCCUCAAGAUGCUGGUUGGAAUUCAAUAGGAGGGUCCUCAUAAGGUGACAUUCACUAAGGCACUCAGGAAGAAUUUUGAACUGACCAAAGGUUAAGUCUAGAAAUUUCACAUUAAUACACCACUUGAGAACUAUUUGGAGACAUUCAUAUGGGAGAUUGCAAUGAUUGAAUUCAAGAACAUCCACAUUUGAAAACAUUAUAGAAUACAUUUUCUCAUUAUGUUUUGGGAACCUGAGCAUUUCACAUGCCAAUAAUGAUAACUGGAGAUAUUGAAAUGAAAAUGGCAAUUCUCUUGUGGAAGUUUUACACAUUCCAAUCUCUUUUGUAUUUGUCAUCUUACAUAAUAAUUCUGGAAAACUCUUGAGUCUCUUACAAUAAGUGAGGUCCAAUUCCUUAAGAGAGGGCAGCCGCAAGGGUGGAAAAUUCUCAAGCUUGAUGCAUCCCCAUGCAUUUAAGAUUUCAAGUUUAUUUAGCUUCCCAAUCGAAUCGUGAAUUGCAAUUAAAUUGUCACAAUAUUGAAACGAGAAUUUUUCUAAAUUUGGAAGACCUGAGACAUUGGGUAUAUGGGUUAAAUAUUGACACUUGUCCAAUGUCAAGACUUUCAUAUCCUCAAACCUCUGCAUAAACAAAAAGAAGAAACAAACAAAUAAAUUAAAAAUAAAACACUAUACUCUCAUAGUGAUAUUAUUUUCUUGACAGAAACAAAAUCAUUGUGAAUUUAUAAAUAUAUACAAUUAGAAAAUGAAAUUAUUUCACUUGCCUUGCAGAAAAUAAAAGAUGAUAGAGACUCUGAAGAACAUCCAUUCAAUUUCAAUACUCUCAAACUGCUUGGAAGAUACUUGGGAUCUUUAGAAAAAUAGACAUUUUUAAUAAUAAGUGUUUUGAGAUUUGUCAUCUUCUUGAAAGCCUUUCCAUUCCAGUCUAUUACCAGAUCCAUUGAGGGAGAAUUCAGAUAUAUCAUCUCAAUUUUACUUGUUCCCUUUUAACAGAAAAAAAAAAUAAAAAUGAAUCAACCACAAUACAAAUAAAAUAUUGAGAACAUGUAAAUGUAAUUAAGGGUAAAAUAAAUAUUUGUUCAUAGAUAUCAAUCUUACUUUGUUUUCCUGUAAAAUAUGAAUUAUGUCAUCGCGACACCACAACCGACUACGCUUUUCAGGCUCUUUGGGUGAUUCUUUCCGGACGAUUUCUUUACCCAUGACCUCUAGCAAGUCAUGUAAUGUCACAUCAUUCAAGUUCCACCCACUAAUUUUUAUGAGAGACAUAUCAACCAGCUCUCCAAUGUGGCUCUUUAUGCAAUAACCAUAAUGUUGUUGAAGUAUCUCUUCGACUUCUGCCAAUCUACAUCCUUUGAAGAAACAAGCAAUAUCCAAAAAGACACUUUGUUGUUCUUCGUCCAAAGCAUCAAAGCUUACUUUAAGUAUCUUUUGGAUAUCUUCAUGUGGAAUUCUUUCAUACUUAUCUAAUGUAGAAUCACAUUCUGCAAAACUCUUUCCAAACAAGUUGGAACCCACUACUUCUAGAGCUAAUGGAAGGCCAGAAGCAUACACAACUGCAUGGUUAAAAAUCUCUUCAUAACUUGAAGGAACUUUGUAAUUUUUAAAAGCCAUCCACCUCAACAAUUCAAGAGCAUUUUCCGUAGACAUCCCUUUUACUUCAUGGAUAAUUUCUAUCUCAUGAUUGGUUAGUAAGUGUUUGUUACGAGUGGUAAUGAUAACUAUGCUUCCACAGCCGAACCAAUCACGUCCUCCAGCCAAAGCAUGCAGUUGUUCCAAAUUGUCAACAUCAUCGAGAAUCAAAAGAAUCUUCUUUGUAUGUAGCCUUUCCUUUAUAUAGGGAAUUCCCUCACUAACACCUCCUAACUUAAUUUUCAGUGCUAGUGUUUUUAAAAGGAGUUCCUCCUGGAGAUGUUUCAAUUGAUUUGAAGCUGAAUUCUCUCUCACAUUUUCAAGAAAACAUGAGCAUUCAAAUUGAUCAGCAAUAAAAUUAUAAAUUACUUUAGCAAGUGUUGAUUUUCCCAUGCCUCCAAUACCAUAAAGUCCUAUCAUGCGGACUCCACCAUAAGAUCCUUUAUCAAGAAGCGAUUUCACUUGUUGUACUCGAGACUGCAACCCAACAGGGUAAAUGGCAACAUGUAAGGGCUGACGACUGAUCUUGUUGGAGACAUAUUUGACUAUCUUUUCAAUAAACUUGUAUUCAUAUCUAUUCAUGUCCAAUAAGAUAAGUCAGUAUGUAACAACAUCACAGUCACAUCCAUGUCCUCAUAAUAUAUCAUACAUUUCUAACUAUUUUGACUUAUAAAUAACUAAUACUUGUUUAAAAAUGUAAAAAAAAAGGUGUUUCCAAUUUAGGCUUUAAGAUGGUAUUAUUGAGGAAUAAAAAUUAAAUAAAUAAAAUGCAAAAUGGAAAACAAGAAUUAAGUAAAGAGGAGUACCCAUGACUAAAAUGGUAGCCGGACAAGUUAGCAGCUUCGGUCAGAGCCAACUUCCAUUGAUGCAACCGCUCCAUGUUUUUCUUGUUAUUUUGGAAACUCUUUUUGUGCUUAGUGAGAUGUUCACCAUAACUCCCACUUUGAUGUCGUAUGUGACUAGGAUCCACGCCAUAGAAAACAGGCAAAACAAGACGACCCUUUGUCUUGUAGCAGUGCAUGAUGUGGACAAGUUCGUCCAAACAAAAUGAAGAAGAGGCAUAGUUGAUAGAAAACACAGGAAUGAAGAUCCUAGACUCUUCAAUGGCAUUGUCGAGUGAUGGUUUGAUUUCAUCCCCUCUUUGCAGGUCACGGUCAUCAAUGAAGGUGUGGAUUCCCUUGUCAGUAAGAGCUCUGUAGAGAUGGCCAGUAAAACCGUCACGAGUGUCACUGCCCCUGAAGCUGAGGAACACUUGGUAAGUGAAUCGAUAGGAAAAUGAAGAGGAUGAGGAAGGUGAUUGCAUAGCCAUGAAAAUCGAGAGAAACUGGAUGAAAAAAGAGUUUGAGAAUGCAGAAUAUGAGUUUAAGUUUUUGUGGUAUGUGAUGUGAGAGUCUUCAGUAUGUAACUAUAUAACAAGGAGAAAACUUAUGACAAAAAUGGUCUGUUAAACUUC